RNAcentral lists this ribosomal RNA (270 nucleotides) under uncultured bacterium. RNAcentral describes it as "partial 16S ribosomal RNA". It matches the Rfam family "Bacterial small subunit ribosomal RNA", at positions 29 to 324 of the family's 1533-position model. The record is from RNAcentral.
AACGAACGCUGGCGGCAUGCCUAACACAUGCAAGUCGAACGAGACCUUUCGGGGUCUAGUGGCGCACGGGUGCGUAACGCGUGGGAAUCUGCCCUUGGGUUCGGAAUAACAGUGGGAAACUACUGCUAAUACCGGAUGAUGACGUAAGUCCAAAGAUUUAUCGCCCGAGGAUGAGCCCGCGUAGGAUUAGCUAGUUGGUGGGGUAAUGGCUCACCAAGGCGACGAUCCUUAGCUGGUCUGAGAGGAUGAUCAGCCACACUGGGACUGAGA